CCUACGGGAGGCAGCAGUAGGGAAUUUUCGUCAAUGGGCGCAAGCCUGAACGAGCGAUGCCGCGUGAGUGAAGAAGGCCUUCGGGUCGUAAAGCUCUGUUGCGGGGGAAAAAAGGCAGCAUCAGGAAAUGGGUGCUGACUGAUGGUGCCCCGCCAGAAAGUCACGGCUAACUACGUGCCAGCAGCCGCGGUAAUACGUAGGUGGCGAGCGUUAUCCGGAAGGAUUGGGCGUAAAGGGUGCGCCGGCGGUCCUGCAAGUCUGGAGUGAAACGCAUGGGCUCAACUCAUGCAUGGCGUUGGAAACUGGAGGACUGGAGAGCAGGAGAGGGCGGUGGAACGCCAGGUGUAGCGGUAAAAUGCGUAGAUAUAUGGAAGAACACCAGUGGCGAAGGCGGCCGCCUGGCCUGUUGCUGACGCUGAGGCACGAAAGCGUGGGGAGCAAAUAGGAUUAGAUACCCUUGUAGUC
RNAcentral lists this ribosomal RNA (465 nucleotides) under uncultured bacterium. RNAcentral's name for it is "partial 16S ribosomal RNA". It matches the Rfam family "Bacterial small subunit ribosomal RNA", at positions 338 to 795 of the family's 1533-position model. The record is from RNAcentral.